AUGCUCAUCAUGACUCUCAACACGAGUCGCCCUUACUUUUUCUCGUGCCUUGAUCCAGAACCAGAGACAACCGCAAUUUCCGGCCGUUGAUGGUUCUCCGAUACCUAAUUGAUGCAUAACAUAACGCUGCCGACGAACCGACUUCCCUAGCACGCCAAGCAUCCAUCAUGGCGAGAUGGCAUCAUGACCUUCUUCAGUUUGGGCACUGACCAUGGGAAAAGGGCCUACUGACUAGCUCUUACACACGCUAAGAGGUGAGAUUAGGUUCAAAUCGACAGCCACCCCGUCCGAGUUUGCUUCUCCUCUCCGCGCGGGAAGGGCAAAACCCAAGCCCAAGGUUGCGGCUUGCUGGUUUACCCGCUCGCUCAUCCAUUAGCCAUCACAUUCCAGGCAGUCGUUUUGCUCCCACCAGUUGCCAAGUGGUUACCAAUCAAGGGCGUUGACUUCCGAACAAGCUUGUCAAGUCGACACUGGCACCAAUUCUCGUCCCAAUGUCCAUUGACAUGAUAUCCCCAAACAUCGGUCGGUGUCCCCACGGCCGAAAUGAGCUGGCGAGAGGCAAACUUGACCGGGAUGGCUUGAACAAGCAGUUGGUAGCGAAUCGGCCUGGUAUAUUUGCCAUUUUGGUGGUGGCUUGGUAACUGGGUGUUCGUCGGCCGCCGGAUCACAAGGCUUCCACGCCUUUAGGGCAACUAGUCUUCGGAGGCAAGCACCGAAGGAGGCACUGUUCCCGCAUGUUUGGGCAGUACCUACCAUGUCCGAGAAGGUUUGUUUGCUUCAGUCAUCUCCUGAUACACACACGGUAGGCCUAGCAAGAUAUGUCCAGCAGAUCUAUAGUAUUCUUCCUUUUGUUCUUU
Molecule: non-coding RNA, 857 nt
Organism: Neurospora crassa OR74A
Lineage: Eukaryota; Fungi; Ascomycota; Sordariomycetes; Sordariales; Sordariaceae
Source: RefSeq, a predicted model, not a curated record